AAUAGAUACCCUGGUAGUCCACGCCGUAAACGAUGGGUGCUAGACGUUGGCGAGCUUGCUCGUCAGUGUCGCAGCUAACGCGUUAAGCACCCCGCCUGGGGAGUACGGCCGCAAGGUUGAAACUCAGAGGAAUUGACGGGGGCCCGCACAAGCGGUGGAGCAUGUGGUUCAAUUCGACGCAACGCGCAGAACCUUACCAGCCCUUGACAUGUGACUCGCCGGCUCCAGAGACGGAGCCUUCGGUUCGGCCGGAGUCAGCACAGGUGCUGCAUGGCUGUCGUCAGCUCGUGUCGUGAGAUGUUGGGUUAAGUCCCGCAACGAGCGCAACCCUCGUCUCCAGUUGCCAUCAGGUUAAGCUGGGCACUUUGGAGAACUGCCGGUGACAAGCCGGAGGAAGGUGGGGAUGACGUCAAGUCCUCAUGGCCCUUACGGGCUGGGCUACACACGUGCUACAAUGGCGGUGACAGUGGGAUGCGAAGGGGCGACCCGGAGCCGAUCCCCAAAAACCGUCCCAGUUCGGAUUGC
This 525-nucleotide ribosomal RNA is filed under the name uncultured bacterium. RNAcentral's name for it is "bacterial SSU rRNA". It matches the Rfam family "Bacterial small subunit ribosomal RNA", at positions 777 to 1301 of the family's 1533-position model. The record is from RNAcentral.